AACGAACGCUGGCGGCAUGCCUAACACAUGCAAGUCGAACGAGAUCUUCGGGUCUAGUGGCGCACGGGUGCGUAACGCGUGGGAAUCUGCCCUUUGGUUCGGAAUAACAGUUGGAAACGAUUGCUAAUACCGGAUGAUGACGAAAGUCCAAAGAUUUAUCGCCAGAGGAUGAGCCCGCGUAGGAUUAGCUAGUUGGUGUGGUAAAGGCGCACCAAGGCGACGAUCCGUAGGUGGUCUGAGAGGAUGAUCAGCCACACUGGGACUGAGACACGGCCCAGACUCCUACGGGAGGCAGCAGUGGGGAAUAGUAGACAAUGGGCGAAAGCCUGAUCCAGCAGUGCCGCGUGAGUGAUGAAGGCCUUAGGGUUGUAAAGCUCUUUUACCCGGGAUGAUAAUGACAGUACCGGGAGAAUAAGCUCCGGCUAACUCCGUGCCAGCCGCCGCAGUAA
RNAcentral lists this ribosomal RNA (449 nucleotides) under uncultured bacterium. Its description in RNAcentral is "partial 16S ribosomal RNA". It matches the Rfam family "Bacterial small subunit ribosomal RNA", at positions 29 to 523 of the family's 1533-position model. The record is from RNAcentral.